UACGUAGGGUGCAAGCGUUGUCCGGAAUUAUUGGGCGUAAAGAGCUCGUAGGCGGUUUGUCGCGUCUGCUGUGAAAACUCGGGGCUUAACUCCGGGCCUGCAGUGGGUACGGGCAGACUAGAGUGCGGUAGGGGAGACUGGAAUUCCUGGUGUAGCGGUGAAAUGCGCAGAUAUCAGGAGGAACACCGGUGGCGAAGGCGGGUCUCUGGGCCGUAACUGACGCUGAGGAGCGAAAGCGUGGGGAG
RNAcentral lists this ribosomal RNA (245 nucleotides) under uncultured bacterium. RNAcentral's name for it is "partial 16S ribosomal RNA". It matches the Rfam family "Bacterial small subunit ribosomal RNA", at positions 524 to 768 of the family's 1533-position model. The record is from RNAcentral.